GGACAGAUUGGAUACCUCGUGAGGAGAGGGG
This 31-nucleotide non-coding RNA is filed under the name Mus musculus (house mouse). The record is from RNAcentral. Lineage: Eukaryota; Metazoa; Chordata; Mammalia; Rodentia; Muridae.